Molecule: ribosomal RNA, 425 nt
Filed under: uncultured bacterium
Lineage: Bacteria
Description: partial 16S ribosomal RNA
Rfam family: Bacterial small subunit ribosomal RNA
Source: RNAcentral
GUGGGGAAUAUUGGGCAAUGGGCGAAAGCCUGACCCAGCAACGCCGCGUGAAGGAAGAAGGUUUUCGGAUCGUAAACUUCUAUCCUUGGUGAAGAUAAUGACGGUAGCCAAGAAGGAAGCCCCGGCUAACUACGUGCCAGCAGCCGCGGUAAUACGUAGGGGGCAAGCGUUGUCCGGAAUGAUUGGGCGUAAAGGGCGCGUAGGCGGCCUGGUAAGGCUGGAGUGAAAGUCCUGCUUUUAAGGUGGGAAUUGCUUUGGAUACUGUCGGGCUUGAGUGCAGGAGAGGUAAGUGGAAUUCCCGGUGUAGCGGUGAAAUGCGUAGAGAUCGGGAGGAACACCAGUGGCGAAGGCGACUUACUGGACUGUAACUGACGCUGAGGCGCGAAAGUGUGGGGAGCAAACAGGAUUAGAUACCCCAGUAGUCC